Molecule: ribosomal RNA, 360 nt
Filed under: uncultured bacterium
Lineage: Bacteria
Description: bacterial SSU rRNA
Rfam family: Bacterial small subunit ribosomal RNA
Source: RNAcentral
GGGCUCACACAAGCGGUGGAGCAUGUGGCUUAAUUCGAGGCAACGCGAAGAACCUUAUCCUGGGCUUGACAUGUACGGAUUAACCUUAUGAAAGUAGGCCACGCUCGCAAGAGUGGAACGUGCACAGGUGCUGCAUGGCUGUCGUCAGCUCGUGUCGUGAGAUGUCGCGUUAAGUCGCUAAACGAGCGAAACCCCUAUCUUUAGUUGCCAGCGCGUCAUGGCGGGACUCUAAAGAGACUGCCGGUGUCAAACCGGAGGAAGGCGGGGAUGACGUCAAAUCAUCACGGCCCUUACGUCCUGGGCUACACACGUGCUACAAUGGCCGGUACAGAGAGCAGCCACGUCGCAAGGCGGAGCGAA